This 32-nucleotide non-coding RNA is filed under the name Homo sapiens (human). The record is from RNAcentral. Lineage: Eukaryota; Metazoa; Chordata; Mammalia; Primates; Hominidae.
GGAUUUACAAUCGACAGGGGUCCGAACGCAGC